AAUAUUGACUGGGGGAGCCGGAAGGCUGAGAGUCCUGAACAGGACGACCCUUAUCACCUGAUCUCGAUAAUGCGAGCGUAGGGAAGUGAGAGUAUUGAAAC
RNAcentral lists this non-coding RNA (101 nucleotides) under Chloroflexota bacterium. RNAcentral's name for it is "Chloroflexi bacterium TPP sequence". It matches the Rfam family "TPP riboswitch aptamer (THI element)". From Rfam's summary of the family: Vitamin B(1) in its active form thiamin pyrophosphate (TPP) is an essential coenzyme that is synthesised by coupling of pyrimidine and thiazole moieties in bacteria. The previously detected thiamin-regulatory element, thi box was extended, resulting in a new, highly conserved RNA secondary structure, the THI element, which is widely distributed in eubacteria and also occurs in some archaea. Lineage: Bacteria; Bacillati; Chloroflexota. The record is from RNAcentral.